RNAcentral lists this non-coding RNA (108 nucleotides) under unclassified sequences. Its description in RNAcentral is "DUF3800-I RNA". It matches the Rfam family "DUF3800-I RNA". From Rfam's summary of the family: Actinobacteria, Firmicutes, Fusobacteria, Proteobacteria (1 example), Tenericutes (2 examples). Terminator (Clostridia) The record is from Rfam by way of RNAcentral.
UUCAAGUGCAGGUAGAGAUACGCUGUAUACUCAUGAUAUCGAAUUAGCGUUUAAGCGAUAUGUAAUAUCGUCGAUCAUGAGGCCACCCUUGAGGUGGCAUUUUUAUUU